This 72-nucleotide transfer RNA is filed under the name Pelargonium echinatum. Its description in RNAcentral is "tRNA-Trp". It matches the Rfam family "tRNA". Rfam says of the family: Transfer RNA (tRNA) molecules are approximately 80 nucleotides in length. Their secondary structure includes four short double-helical elements and three loops (D, anti-codon, and T loops). The record is from RNAcentral. Lineage: Eukaryota; Viridiplantae; Streptophyta; Magnoliopsida; Geraniales; Geraniaceae.
GCGCUCUUAGUUGAGUUCGGCAGAACAUCGAUUUCUAAAACCCGAUGUCGUAGGUUCAAAUCCUACAGAGCG